Molecule: ribosomal RNA, 439 nt
Filed under: uncultured bacterium
Lineage: Bacteria
Description: partial 16S ribosomal RNA
Rfam family: Bacterial small subunit ribosomal RNA
Source: RNAcentral
CUACGGGAUGCUGCAGUGAGGAAUAUUGCACAAUGGGGGGAACCCUGAUGCGGCAACGCCGCGUGGAGGAUGACGCAUUUCGGUGUGUAAACUCCUUUUAUAUGUCAAGGAAAUGACGGUAGCAUAUGAAUAAGCACCGGCUAACUCCGUGCCAGCAGCCGCGGUAAUACGGAGGGUGCAAGCGUUACUCGGAAUCACUGGGCGUAAAGGACGCGUAGGCGGGUUGGAAAGUCAGGUGUGAAAUCCUACAGCUUAACUGUAGAACUGCACUUGAAACUUCUAAUCUAGAGUAUGGGAGGGGGAGAUGGAAUUAGUGGUGCAGGGGUAAAAUCCGUAGAUAUCACUAGGAAUACCUAAAGCGAAGGCGAUCUCCUGGAACAUUACUGACGCUAAGGCGUGAAAGCGUGGGGAGCAAACAGGAUUAGAUACCCGGGUAGUC